Molecule: ribosomal RNA, 931 nt
Filed under: Leuconostoc lactis
Lineage: Bacteria; Bacillati; Bacillota; Bacilli; Lactobacillales; Lactobacillaceae
Description: bacterial SSU rRNA
Rfam family: Bacterial small subunit ribosomal RNA
Source: RNAcentral
GGAAACAGAUGCUAAUACCGAAUAAAACUUAGUAUCGCAUGAUACAAAGUUGAAAGGCGCUACGGCGUCACCUAGAGAUGGGUCCGCGGUGCAUUAGUUAGUUGGUGGGGUAAAGGCCUACCAAGACAAUGAUGCAUAGCCGAGUUGAGAGACUGAUCGGCCACAUUGGGACUGAGACACGGCCCAAACUCCUACGGGAGGCUGCAGUAGGGAAUCUUCCACAAUGGGCGCAAGCCUGAUGGAGCAACGCCGCGUGUGUGAUGAAGGCUUUCGGGUCGUAAAGCACUGUUGUAUGGGAAGAAAUGCUAGAAUAGGGAAUGAUUCUAGUUCGACGGUACCAUACCAGAAAGGGACGGCUAAAUACGUGCCAGCAGCCGCGGUAAUACGUAUGUCCCGAGCGUUAUCCGGAUUUAUUGGGCGUAAAGCGAGCGCAGACGGUUGAUUAAGUCUGAUGUGAAAGCCCGGAGCUCAACUCCGGAAUGGCAUUGGAAACUGGUUAACUUGAGUGUUGUAGAGGUAAGUGGAACUCCAUGUGUAGCGGUGGAAUGCGUAGAUAUAUGGAAGAACACCAGUGGCGAAGGCGGCUUACUGGACAACAACUGACGUUGAGGCUCGAAAGUGUGGGUAGCAAACAGGAUUAGAUACCCUGGUAGUCCACACCGUAAACGAUGAAUACUAGGUGUUAGGAGGUUUCCGCCUCUUAGUGCCGAAGCUAACGCAUUAAGUAUUCCGCCUGGGGAGUACGACCGCAAGGUUGAAACUCAAAGGAAUUGACGGGGACCCGCACAAGCGGUGGAGCAUGUGGUUUAAUUCGAAGCAACGCGAAGAACCUUACCAGGUCUUGACAUCCUUUGAAGCUUCUAGAGAUAGAAGUGUUCUCUUCGGAGACAAAGUGACAGGUGGUGCAUGGUCGUCGUCAGCUCGUGUCGUG